Molecule: ribosomal RNA, 256 nt
Filed under: uncultured bacterium
Lineage: Bacteria
Description: partial 16S ribosomal RNA
Rfam family: Bacterial small subunit ribosomal RNA
Source: RNAcentral
UACGUAGGGUGCAAGCGUUGUCCGGAAUUAUUGGGCGUAAAGAGCUCGUAGGCGGUUUGUCGCGUCGGCUGUGAAAACCUGGGGCUUAACUCCGGGCCUGCAGCCGAUACGGGCAAGCUAGAGUUCGGACAGGGGAGACUGGAAUUCCGUGGUGGAGCGGUGAAAUGCGUAGAUAUUGGAAAGACCACCGAUGGCGAAGGCACUCUACUGGGCCACUACUGACACUGAGAGACGAAAGCUAGGGGGAGCAAAUGGG